This is a long non-coding RNA of Rhododendron vialii, 469 nucleotides long. RefSeq lists it as uncharacterized. The record is from RefSeq and is a predicted model, not a curated record. The transcript is spliced from 2 exons. NCBI's taxonomy places the organism in Eukaryota, Viridiplantae, Streptophyta, Magnoliopsida, Ericales, Ericaceae.
UCUUCUGCUACCGCAGAGAAGAAAAUGGUGAUAAGUUGAGAGAUUACAAAAGGAGAACUCCGCACAUUCCACAGAGAAAAAGAAAAGAGGAGAUGAUGUCUCAGGUUGGUGUCUCUUCUGCAAUCAGUCCCAUGGACUCUUCCAAUUCCCCAAAAGGGCUGGACCAGGUUUAUCUAAUAGACACGCGCUCGUGCUCGCACACAUACACACAUGUUGAGGUUUCAGCAUGAAGAUAGUCUCAGGGGCAUCUUUCAAAUUACUGCUGGAGUUGUAAUAUGGCAUUCUGCGUGAAGCUAAAGUUGUAAGGUAGGAGCACUGGAUAUUUGAUUUGCAAUCUGUUGUGGACUGUAGCUAAUAGCAAUAUGCAGCAUACUCACUUGUGUCUUUUAAUUCAGUUUUGGCACAUUGAUAGAGCUUUAAAUUGUGCACCUGUGGUUUUCAUUUUGAUACGGUGCAGCGCAUUUGUUCC